RNAcentral lists this ribosomal RNA (372 nucleotides) under Triticum aestivum (bread wheat). RNAcentral's name for it is "partial small subunit ribosomal RNA". Lineage: Eukaryota; Viridiplantae; Streptophyta; Magnoliopsida; Poales; Poaceae. The record is from RNAcentral.
AUGGAGGAGCCACAGAGGUUUGCAGAAUAUGUUUCUAGGUUGGUCCUUGAGAGGGAGACUGAAGCAAACUCCAACAUGUUUCAGGCAUCAUUGAAGACUUUCUUGUCGCCGUCCCUCCCCGGUGAUCUUGAGGGACAAAUCAGGGUCAGCUAUAAAAUCAAGAAGAAGACAGUGAGGAGUGAUGGGUCUGCAGGCAAAUGGUGUUGUGAAGAAACUGGAGAAGGACGAGUCGCUGGACUGGGACAGGACAAGUACAUCAAGGAGAACAACAAAAUGCUUAGAGGAUUCAUUGUCUGCUUGGAUUCCUUUCUGUCUUUGCUCAUCAUUAUGCCUGCAAGAAUUGUGAUGACUGCUUGGCGAGUUGAAAACUAG